UAACCUUUCUCAUAUUGUUGUUGGACUCUCUAAUCCUGGACUCGUGAUCCACUUUUAUGCAAUGCUAUAGGAAUUAGUGAAGGUUUGGUUGUCCGAUUACUACGUUUUCAAUCAAACCAAGAGUACAAGUACUCGACGAAUUAUUAUAGUGUUUUCCACGUUUGGAUAACAGCUUCUACUUCCUGCCAUUACUAAAAAUCAUAAAUUUAAGAGUAAGAACCAGCCGAUCUGUGGCAAUAUUACCGACCAAGAAACUCAAAAGAAUAAACCAAUAACUCCCACAGUGCAUAGACCAACCAAAACAAAGAAAUAAAAACAGGAAAUAUAUGAAAACUUUUUUCGAUCUUGCAUGAAAGACUAAAAUGACAGUUUCAGCACAAAAUUAUAUUGUGUGAUUCUUUACCUGAUUUUGUUGAACGAAUCAGUAAUUUCAAUCCUUCAUUGUGAGCAGAAUGACUUAAUUUAUUUCCUUUCCAGUUUAUUCCGUCAUCCUCAAUUCAAUCCCAGCUACCGCGAAUAUUAUAGGGAUUCAGUAAGAUGGUAAAACAAAACGAUCAACAAAGUUCACCGGAAACUAAUCUAAUACAUAAAGAGAAAUUGAACAUCAAGAAUCAAUCAAACAAUUAAGGAUCCGUUGCUGGUUGUUACAGCUACAGAGAGCCUAAAAACCAGGACAAAAAUCCCAAAAGAGAACCAAUUUUUAAUAAAAGUUCAAUUUAUGAAGAAAAAUUGAAAAAAAAGAAUUAGAAAAGAAAUAAUAUACCUGUUAUUGAUGCUUAAUUCAGUGAAUACCUUGAAGAAAGCUUCAAACUUUUUGCAAUCUGAUAAACAAGAAAUAGCAAAACAACAAGGAAAUAAUGUAUUUAAAACAGGAACUAAAAAAUAAAUAGAAAACGAAGCAUAGAAAAUAGCAAUUAAAUGACACAAAUAUGAACUGAAUUAGGCUCUCCAAUUUUGACCGUAUUGUUUCAUCAUGUGAAAUAGAAUUUCAACAACCUCGAUCUCAACAUUAUGCUGAAUCACUAAUCGGAAAUUUGUGAGAUAUGCUACAAGUAGUAAUAAACUCUUAAGCGCAGCCCACUCCAUUAGCAAUGAGCUGUGUAUAUCGACGAAAAUUAAAAAGUAAGAAAUGAGAGAAACAAAACCAUGUAAAUAUCUUUAGGGCCACCUCUGUAACCACAAGGAGAACAGAUCGCUGGUAAACAAAACCAUGUAAACAUAAGUCGCCGGUGCUCGGUAAAAGUUAUUGAGUUUCUUAAAACCAACCCAUGCAAUCUUUACUUUUGCCAAACAUCAAAUUCUCUUCCAUUCAACUUGCUGGGUGAAACCAAAUAGUAGAUAAAUAUCAGCAAAAUAAAUGGAGGCUUGUUGGAUGA
Molecule: long non-coding RNA, 1376 nt
Filed under: Erythranthe guttata (spotted monkey flower)
Lineage: Eukaryota; Viridiplantae; Streptophyta; Magnoliopsida; Lamiales; Phrymaceae
Description: long non-coding RNA (EGUT_LNC003494)
Source: RNAcentral